This 29-nucleotide non-coding RNA is filed under the name Mus musculus (house mouse). The record is from RNAcentral. Lineage: Eukaryota; Metazoa; Chordata; Mammalia; Rodentia; Muridae.
UACUUGUUUUGAGAAAUUUGAGGGUGAUG